CCUACGGGAGGCAGCAGUGGGGGAUAUUGCACAAUGGGGGGAACCCUGAUGCAGCGACGCCGCGUGGGUGAAGGAGCGUUUCGGCGCGUAAAGCCCUAUCGGCAGGGAAGAAGGAGGACGGUACCUGACUAAGAAGCCCCGGCGAACUACGUGCCAGCAGCCGCGGUAAGACGUAGGGGGCAAGCGUUAUCCGGAUUUACUGGGUGUAAAGGGGGGGCAGACGGGAGCGCAAGCCAGGAGUGAAAGCCCGGGGCCCAACCCCGGGACUGCUCUUGGAACUGCGCGGCUGGAGUGCAGGGAGGGCAGGUGGAAUUCUUGGUGUAGGGGUAAAAUCCGUAGAGAUCAAGAGGAAUACUCAUUGCGAAGGCGACCUGCUGGAACAUUACUGACGCUGAUGCACGAAAGCGUGGGGAGCAAACAGGAUUAGAUACCCUGGUAGUC
Molecule: ribosomal RNA, 441 nt
Filed under: uncultured bacterium
Lineage: Bacteria
Description: partial 16S ribosomal RNA
Rfam family: Bacterial small subunit ribosomal RNA
Source: RNAcentral